UGUCCCGUUGUGUAAUGGUAGCACUGCAGAUUUUGGUUCUGCCUGAACAGGUUCGAGUCCUGUCGGGACAAC
This 72-nucleotide transfer RNA is filed under the name Bacteroidia bacterium. RNAcentral describes it as "tRNA-Gln". It matches the Rfam family "tRNA". Rfam says of the family: Transfer RNA (tRNA) molecules are approximately 80 nucleotides in length. The record is from RNAcentral. Lineage: Bacteria; Pseudomonadati; Bacteroidota; Bacteroidia.